Non-coding RNA from Microcebus murinus (gray mouse lemur), 679 nucleotides. The record is from RefSeq and is a predicted model, not a curated record. NCBI's taxonomy places the organism in Eukaryota, Metazoa, Chordata, Mammalia, Primates, Cheirogaleidae.
UAAGCUGAAAUUGUAUAAAGGGCUCAGCAAAGCAGUUUUGAGGGUCUGGUAGAAAAAGAGGGUGAAAUUGAAGAGAGAAGCAGAUCCGAAAUGUCCAUCUCAGGAGAAAUGGCCAAAGUAAGUCAGUGAAGUCACCAACCCCACUUCUGCCAGCUGAUGCAGAAAGGGAUCAAAGGUGAACUGAUGACCCGCAACCCUUUGACAGUCACUCCUGGGCUACGAGAGCACUUCGGUCUAUGGAAGGGCAGACACGAGACGUGAGAGAAUGGACACUGCCAAUGUGCACACGCCUGAGAAAGGUCCUGAAUGAGGAGGGAGAGAAUUCUGCAUUGGUCACUCAGCAGAUUCCACAGACCUACUGAGAAUAGAGACUGCCACAUGCAUCCCCAGGUGCCACGGCUUGUACCUGGAGGGGAAAGGGACAGGAGUCCAGAACAAGUAGAUUCUUGUGGGACGCGUGUAUAAGGAGUGGCUACAGGCCAACAAGGAGCUCAUCAAAAUUCAGUCCAAACAGGAAGCAACUAAGGCGAAAUCAACAGUCUCCCCUUUCUCUCCACACAGAGGCCUCAUCAGUAACAGAUCACACCAUAUACUAGACUAUCAGAAUUAGCAAGCACUCAAUGGACUGACUAAACAACAGACUAGACACAGUUGAAGAGGCAUUUCAUGAAAUAGAAAA